UUUAUAUAUUAGAUAUUAGUUUUUUUCAAUUAAAUAAAUAGGAAAAUUUUAAAAUAAAAAAAAAUCUGAAACAUCAUUUCUCUCUCCCUCUUUUCCUCUAUCUUCCCCGAAGCCUCAUUCUCUCUCUCACUGUGUUGCCUCUGCCAAGCCCGAACGGCCAUCGUCCCAUCGCCGGAGCCGUACACGCGCCAGCCCAAUCGAACCGCCGGCCCUCGAAACGUCGACCCCCGCGAGCUCACCACCAUACGCGCUGCCCAGGGCUGUCAACCAACGGUCCGAAGCCGUCCGCCUCUUGCACUUUCCGGAACAUCUGCUUGUCCAAAUGGAAGAUUCUAUUGUCAAAAUGCAGGGCAUGCUCCUAAAGUGUUAUUCUACUAGAGUGAAUGAUGGUAUAUGCGGAUGUUGUGGGCGUCCAUGACAGUUUAGCUGCUGAAGCUGAACAUGGUGAUGCUUCCAGAAAGGAAAGGUCCUCAGUUCAAGGUGUAGAACAGGUCUAUAUUGAGAUGCAUUUCUUUGGUGUAAUGCUAGGCAACAUUGACAGUUGAAGUUUUUAGAAUAAAAUAUAUAUUUCACUAACAUUGUA
Molecule: long non-coding RNA, 583 nt
Organism: Humulus lupulus (European hop)
Lineage: Eukaryota; Viridiplantae; Streptophyta; Magnoliopsida; Rosales; Cannabaceae
Exons: 4
Source: RefSeq, a predicted model, not a curated record